UGAGGAAUAUUGGUCAAUGGUCGCUAGACUGAACCAGCCAAGUAGCGUGCGGGAUGAAGGCCCUCCGGGUCGUAAACCGCUUUUAGACGGGGAUAAAGUGAGGCACGUGUGCCUUUUUGUAUGUACCGUAUGAAUAAGGAUCGGCUAACUCCGUGCCAGCAGCCGCGGUAAUACGGAAGGUCCGGGCGUUAUCCGGAUUUAUUGGGUUUAAAGGGAGCGUAGGCGGACUUUCAAGUCAGUGGUAAAAUCGUGUGGCUCAACCAUACCUCGCCAUUGAAACUGGAAGUCUGGAGUGCACACAGGGGUGCCGGAAUUCAUGGUGUAGCGGUGAAAUGCUUAGAUAUCAUGAAGAACUCCGAUCGCGAAGGCAAGUGCCCGGGGUGCAACUGACGCUGAGGCUCGAAGGUGCGGGUAUCGAACAGGAUUAGAUACC
This 433-nucleotide ribosomal RNA is filed under the name uncultured bacterium. Its description in RNAcentral is "bacterial SSU rRNA". It matches the Rfam family "Bacterial small subunit ribosomal RNA", at positions 355 to 786 of the family's 1533-position model. The record is from RNAcentral.